GUAGUCAUAUGCUUGUCUCAAAGAUUAAGCCAUGCAUGUCUAAGUAUAAGCAAUCUAUACGGUGAAACUGCGAAUGGCUCAUUAAAUCAGUUAUCGUUUAUUUGAUAGUACCUUACUACUUGGAUAACCGUGGUGAUACUAGAGCUAAUACAUGCUAAAAACCCCGACUCCGGGAGGGGUGUAUUUAUUAGAUAAAAAACCAAUGCCUUCGGGCUUGUUGGUGAAUCAUAAUAACUUAACGAAUCGCAUGGCCUUGCGCCGGCGAUGGUUCAUUCAAAUUUCUGCCCUAUCAACUUUCGAUGGUAGGAUAGUGGCCUACCAUGGUUUCAACGGGUAACGGGGAAUA
Molecule: ribosomal RNA, 346 nt
Filed under: uncultured Pertusaria
Lineage: Eukaryota; Fungi; Ascomycota; Lecanoromycetes
Description: SSU rRNA
Rfam family: Eukaryotic small subunit ribosomal RNA
Source: RNAcentral